GUUCUUUGCCGGAUAGUCGCUUUGUCUGCUAAUCGGCGGAUGGGGAGGAAAGUCCGAACACCGCCAAUUUUGCUUGCAAAAUUGAGCACUCCGACCUUGCGUCGGAGCUAUCCCGACGUAAAGUCGGGAUGCUCAAAAUUGCAACCAAGCUUUGCUUGGGCAAUUUUGGCAGAGGCAGUGGUUAACGGCCACACUUCUCCGACCUUAGGUCGGAGGGGAUGGAUAUCCCGAUUUUGUUUACAAAAUCGUGGACUCGCGACUUCAUUAUUGAAUUUCAAUAGUGCGUCGGAGGUGUCACAGAAACAAUACCGCGACAUCAUCGAUUUUGGCCUAAAGCCAAAAAAGCUGGUACGUAAGGGUGAAAAGAGGUGAGGUAAAAGCUCACAGCGCAUAUUGGCGACAAUGUGCGGUGAAAAACACCUGCCCGGUGCAACCUCGUUUACGGGGGCUAGAGCUCUCGGCGCAAGCCGGAGCCCAGAUAGAUGACUAUUGCUCCGACCCUGCGUCGGAGUACAAAAUUCGGCUUAUAGGCAGAGAACAAUA
This 543-nucleotide RNase P RNA is filed under the name Candidatus Giovannonibacteria bacterium RIFCSPLOWO2_01_FULL_44_16. RNAcentral describes it as "RNase P RNA component class A". It matches the Rfam family "Bacterial RNase P class A". Rfam says of the family: Ribonuclease P (RNase P) is a ubiquitous endoribonuclease, found in archaea, bacteria and eukarya as well as chloroplasts and mitochondria. Its best characterised activity is the generation of mature 5'-ends of tRNAs by cleaving the 5'-leader elements of precursor-tRNAs. Lineage: Bacteria; Candidatus Giovannoniibacteriota. The record is from RNAcentral.